RNAcentral lists this ribosomal RNA (253 nucleotides) under uncultured bacterium. RNAcentral's name for it is "partial 16S ribosomal RNA". It matches the Rfam family "Bacterial small subunit ribosomal RNA", at positions 524 to 775 of the family's 1533-position model. The record is from RNAcentral.
UACGAAGGGGCUAGCGUUGCUCGGAAUUACUGGGCGUAAAGGGCGCGUAGGCGGAUGUCUAAGUUGGGGGUGAAAUCCCGGGGCUCAACCUCGGAAUUGCCUUCAAAACUGGAUAUCUUGAGUUCGGGAGAGGUGAGUGGAACUCCGAGUGUAGAGGUGAAAUUCGUAGAUAUUCGGAAGAACACCAGGUGGCGGAAGGCGACUCACUGGCCCGAUACUGACGCUGAGGCGCGAAAGCGUGGGGAGCAACAGG